AGAACGAACGCUGGCGGCAUGCCUAACACAUGCAAGUCGAACGAGACCUUCGGGUCUAGUGGCGCACGGGUGCGUAACGCGUGGGAAUCUGCCCUUGGGUUCGGAAUAACAGUUGGAAACGACUGCUAAUACCGGAUGAUGACGUAAGUCCAAAGAUUUAUCGCCCAGGGAUGAGCCCGCGUAGGAUUAGCUAGUUGGUGAGGUAAAGGCUCACCAAGGCGACGAUCCUUAGCUGGUCUGAGAGGAUGAUCAGCCACGCUGGGACUGAGACACGGCCCAGACUCCUACGGGAGCAGCAGGUGGGGAAUAUUGGACAAUGGGACGAAAGCCUGAU
RNAcentral lists this ribosomal RNA (334 nucleotides) under uncultured soil bacterium. Its description in RNAcentral is "bacterial SSU rRNA". It matches the Rfam family "Bacterial small subunit ribosomal RNA", at positions 26 to 387 of the family's 1533-position model. The record is from RNAcentral.